Pongo pygmaeus (Bornean orangutan) is the source of this 156-nucleotide long non-coding RNA. RefSeq lists it as uncharacterized. Lineage: Eukaryota; Metazoa; Chordata; Mammalia; Primates; Hominidae. The transcript has 3 exons. The record is from RefSeq and is a predicted model, not a curated record.
GAGGCCUCCUCAGCCAUGUGGAACUAGUACACAGACUUAUGCUUUUAAACAAGUCUGAUAAAGUCAUCUUUCAGCUCAAAACCCUGCGAUGAGUCCCUUCUUUUCAGAGUAAAGUUUUCAAGAUUUCCAAAGUGCUGAUGAGAUUUUAUAGUGCCA